CCCUGGGGAGGCACCGUGGGUCCCAAAGACUUGCCCUUUGAAGAUCUUUCAAAAUGAGGAUGAGCGCUUCAUAACGUUUUUUAAAAAUAAUGUGUGACAAAAGCUGAACUACAUAAAAGAAGAGCAGAAUUAGUAAACUGCACUGCUCAUUGGAAAAGAAAAAGUCUCACUAAGGAAUAAAGAAGAGACCAUAACCACAGACACUGUGAGGAUCCGAGAGCAGCAUUCAGCCCCAUCUCCUACAUUGGAAGAAUGGAAAAAGCCAAACAUCCAUCACCUUUUUACUUUGACAAAUACAGUACUGUGUCCCAGCGACCCCAGAGGCUGAUAAUCACAGUGUCCUCCAUGCUGAAAGGGGAACUGAGGAAGGCCAAAAGCUCAUCCACCUUCUACUUAACAAAUCGAACUCAGGACCUUGAGCUUUCGAGGCAGGCAGCGGAACCACUGAGCUAAAUCCCUGGCCGUCAUGUGCCUUUGUACAGCAUGGAUAAUUUGAAUAAUUAAAAGAAAAAAGAAUCCAAGUUCUCUGAACAUAUGGCUGGUAACUAACCUUCCUAAUUCAGCAGAAGUACUCAAGCUUUGGAACACAUCACGCAGAGGUGGUGGGUACUGUUGCCCAAGGCCCCGAGGAGAGACAGCAGAACUGCCUCAGAAGCAGGGGCAGAUUGUCGGGCUCCCAGGUGCCUGUGCUGGUCCCUUGCGGUUAUUCUGAGUUUCCCAGGACUAGUGGAAGAACUGAGGGCAGAGAUGCUGAUCAUCUCUGUCCUGGCCCCACCCCAAGGCUGAUAAUCCGGCGGCCCUCACCUCCCUCUUCCUGCCAUUUCCCAGAGCCAUGGAACUCCACAUGUCCUGCUACAAACAGCUGUCACUGCUCACUGGGGGAGCUGAGCCCAGAAAAGCGGCCCUUCCACAUCAGCUCACCUGGGAGAGGUGUUAGCAUCAUCCAGGGAUCAGGAGCCCUAGUAACGGGGAGUGCACAAACCCUGUUUCGUCUGAAUGCCCAAUGAGCAAGACACAUGGGUCACAAGGGACCUCGGAGGGAGAAGCCUCCUGCUGGGUCUGGGGGGGCUCCCUUCUGUAAUCCCAGCACCCAGGAGGCUGAGGCAGAUGGACCUCUUUGAGUAGGAAAUAUAUCUUAGAUCCUAAGGUUAUGAAUGGGGGACUCAGAAGUUAACUGUAUCACACUCAUAUGGCAGGUGCUAUGUGUCCUCGAACUCAAUUCUUUAAUCCAGGCCCAAAUAGAACAAAGAGGCAAAUAUUGCUGUAACCCAGAAAGAUCACCACUGUGCCCCUCUGCUGUUCCAGCUCCAUAGUCUGUGCCAGGCGUGCCCGGGGCUCUCUUAAAGCUGCUCCCUCAUCACUCCACGUCACCACAGUCUUAAACACCCAGAUCCUUCAUCUCCCAGCCCCUGUAUCCCCUUGCAGUACCCCAACUUCCAGAAUAAAUUCUGCUAUGGUCACUUAUUUUAUUUGACUAUUAUUUUUUGAGGGAGGGGAGUUGAGGUAAAGUCUUGCUUUGUGUCCAGGCUGACCUUGAGCUCACUAUGUAGCCAAG
Long non-coding RNA from Heterocephalus glaber (naked mole-rat), 1555 nucleotides. NCBI's taxonomy places the organism in Eukaryota, Metazoa, Chordata, Mammalia, Rodentia, Bathyergidae. The record is from Ensembl.